GAGAGAGAGCGGCGGCGCUGUUUGCGGGGCGGAAGUCCGGAGGGUUCAGUGGUAAAAAGAGAGCUGGGAGAGUUCUUCGAGGCGAAGGAUUAAUUCCGUUAUGAAGCACCCAAGACUGCAUGCAGGACUCGAAGUGAGGCUGCACCAGUGCAGAGAGGAGCCAGACAAUCCCCUUGCUCGACUGGCUGAUGCCUCCCAGGACACGGUUGGCCCUCCUGGCUGCCAGGGCACUGCUGACUCAUAUUCAAUGUGCCAUCGACCAGGACCCCCAGGUCCCUUUUUGCAGGAAACGUUGCCUUAUGGGUGGUGUGAUAGCAAUUCAGGGUCAGAGAGGGAUAACCUGGGAAAGGUACGGUGGGCACAUGGCUGGGGCAGCUAUGCUUAGUAUAAGUUCAGUGAUUGUAAAGUUUACUCAGUCUUAAUGCUCUGUAUUUUCAUAAUUCUUGUUUGAGGUACACAGGAAUUAUGCUAUAGAAUGAUACUGGGAACAUUUAAGCCUCUUUUCUCUGUAAUAAAUUAUUGUGUUUUAGCAUCUGCUUCUGGGCAACUUGCUAGAGCUGCUGGAUGGUUCAUCAGAUCAUUAUGUAAACAUUAUGCCAUCAAUUUGAAGUGAUAAAAGCUAAUUUUAAAAUUUAAUUAAAAGCCUGCUGUUUGUAAAGUGAAAAAAAAAAGACUGCCUGGUUUUGGGGGUUGGUUUGUUUGUUUUUCCAGAAUGUUCAAUUUUCUGUAAAAUCAGACAAAAUAGAUAAAGCAGAACUGCUCAGCAGAUUUGAUAUGUUCAUGUACAUAUUGAAAAUUUGUUUGAUUUAUAUAGUAAAUAGCUAAGGGAUUGGAAGCAACUUGAGAAGAAAUUUACUGUGACCUCUCCCUCCAGAGAGGUUAAAUAAUGCCUGUAUUGUUUUUGGCAGAUAGUUGUCUAACAAUGAUCAGAUCUGUCUGCAAGCAAAGUUAAAUAAUGUUGUUGUUGGAUUUGUAACAACACAUAUGUUGUUACAGAUUAACAAACAUCACUAUUGCUUGAUAAAAUGUCUGUAUGAUAAAGGAUUGAAACAUCAUCAUGUUAGAAAAACGGUUAAUUUAUUAUUUGUAUUCCUAAAAGAAUAAGAACUGGGGAAAAAAUAUUUUAUCUUCCCACAACAUGAACAGGAGAGUCGAAGGAUGUGGCUAAAAUAAACUAGUCCCAGGAUCA
Long non-coding RNA from Pseudopipra pipra, 1189 nucleotides. RefSeq lists it as uncharacterized. NCBI's taxonomy places the organism in Eukaryota, Metazoa, Chordata, Aves, Passeriformes, Pipridae. The record is from RefSeq and is a predicted model, not a curated record. The transcript has 2 exons.